GUUCAUUUAUACCAGUAGGGACAGCAGAUCACACUCUUAUGAUGUGUAGCAAGUCACUAUCUUGUAUUUUUAAACUGCUUCCUUGGAGAUGUCCAAUGUUAGUUUGCUCCCAUCUCAGUUCCAUGCUGAAGAAUAAACCUGUUUUUUACACUCUUAGUAAUGGUCUUACUUUUAGGUGAUGGAAGCCCUCGAACUGCCAGGUAGUUCUGGUCUUGGUGCUCAGGAGUUGUGCAACUGGUGAGCAACAGUCAGAUUUCUUAACUCCAGAACCGACAGAGGGCUGUAAGAGGCAGUUUUGUCAAGAACAGGUUUUCUGGUUUGGAUGAGAGAGGUGCAACUCUUUGAAAAUACACCUCAAAAAAAUUCAGUACAUUGAAAUGUUGAACCACGUGUCACUGUAAGAGAGAGCGUUGCUUUCUUAUAAGUUUCAGUAAAAUCAUGUCAGUACUUGUUUAUUUACUGGAGGAAGUGCUUCAGCAGAGGAGUGCUGGUAGCUCCAGGAGCCUGCAGUGUGGCUCAGAUGGGUGCUGAGGUUAAUGUCUGUAUUUCAGCGAGGGCAGGAAGUUGCCAAAAUUCCUAUGGAUGGACUAUUUUAUUUUUUUAUAUAAAUAAAUGGUUAAUGUAUUAAUCAAAUUAGUGCUUUGAUUUAUUUUUUUUCUCGACAAAGCAAUGCCCUAAUCAAUGCACUGUGGAAUGUUCCACUAGGAGUUUAGCUUUGUUUCAUCUGUACUUUUGGAAGGAGGAAGAACUUCAUUGCAGUGCAAGGUGGCAAAAUCAAUUAAAUCUUGAUUUUUGUGAGACAGCAACAGCUGUUUCUCAUUCGGAUCUAGCCCGUCCUGCACAGCAGGAAAUGGAAUGCUUUGGUUCAGAGUUUUAUGGUUUUGAUGCAGGGGAAGAAUCAAGUGAAUGAAAGUGCGGCGGAAGCCAACCACACUUCUUUCUGCCUUUCCCAGACUGAUGCUCAGGUAUGGCACGAUGCAAGCCGGAGCUUUUGGGAUACUUGCAGCUGCAAGAUGUGUUUAAUUUGGGUGUCUUGGUAGCUAUUGACAUACUGAGUGUGCAUUCCUCUUGCAGUUUGGUGAAUGAAGCAAAUACAGAUACUUCAGAGUUGAGCGCAGCAGGAUAUGUAGUGCAUGAAACCUGUAUUUUUAUACACAACUGGAGAAACUUCUUAAAGGUGAUCUGGGAAUGCACUGCAAUGCUCGUGGGUCGCUCUGACCAGGGAGAGCCUACCGGCUUCUCAGAGCUCCUGCUCACUAUACGGGUGGUGAAGAUGCACCAGCUACAGAUAGUGUUGCAACAGGAGGAGACAAAAGUCUGUGAGGAAAGUAGAAGUGACCAGUUCCCUGUAUUCCACUCCCAACCACUUCCUCUUUUCAAUGAUCUCCCAAAAUAA
RNAcentral lists this long non-coding RNA (1396 nucleotides) under Chrysolophus pictus (golden pheasant). Its description in RNAcentral is "lncRNA (ENSCPIG00010002965.1)". The record is from RNAcentral. Lineage: Eukaryota; Metazoa; Chordata; Aves; Galliformes; Phasianidae.